AAAUAUUGUUCAGCCUUCAGGGUUCAACAUCUGCACUCGUAUCAAGAUAUGACGUCUGGCUCAUUUCAAUUUUUGUUGUGUGAAUUUCCAUGAUUAUGAGUAAUAUGUUAACUAUUUGGUAUAUUGGUUCCUUGCAAUUUCUACAUGCCUAUCAACCUCUGCGGUCGUAUAAAGCUGCGCCCUGCGGAGCAUCUGGUUGUAGUUUCCAGACAUUUACUUGUGUUUAAGAAUAUCUAUCUAAACUUGUACUACAUGUACAAAGAG
This 264-nucleotide long non-coding RNA is filed under the name Mytilus galloprovincialis (Mediterranean mussel). Lineage: Eukaryota; Metazoa; Mollusca; Bivalvia; Mytilida; Mytilidae. The record is from RNAcentral.